GUGGAAUGAAAAAUAACCAGCUAUUUUGCUAGCAAUUCAAAGAGAAAAAUAAAAUUGCAAUCUCAUACAAAUUGGAAUCUAGGACAAAGCUUUUCAUUUAUGGGAAGGAAGGUAAGGGCCCAGUGCGGUGGUUCUCAAACUUGGAGGCACAGUGGAAUCAUUUGGGGAGUUAGAAAAAGUGCUGAUGUUAUAGGUCAUCCCUAGUAAUUAUGGUUGGAUUAUCCUUGGGUGCAACAUGAGCAUGGGAUUUUAAAGAAGCUUCCCAGAUGAUUGCAGAGCAUAGCCAGCCAGGGUUGAGAAUCAGUGGCCUAAAUAAGUCAUGACAUGGUGGUGGAGGUUGACAUCCUCUUGCAGGAUCAUCAGGAUGUGGUUCAUUAAAAAAUAUGGGUAAAUAUUUCUGAGAUAGAUAAACUCAGGAGUUUCUAGUUGCAGCAGUUUUUUGUCAAAAUCGCAUUAAAUUUCAUGGCUUAGUGUGGAUGCUGAUGUUGGUUUGAUGCCCUCUCAGAUUUUAUAUCUGAGGGAACUGUAAAGUGUGAUAUUAAAGCAUUUAAAACUAUGAAUCAGAACUUAGUAUUUGGGAUUUUCCUUUAGGGAGAGUGCAUGAUACCCUGAUAACAGAAUGAUGGAAUGUACAAUUUCAGAGACUGAGAAAAGGUGAAACUAAGCUUGGAAGUUUUUCUACUUGAUUUUUAAUUCUGGAAGAAUUCCUAAUUAAAUAAAAUGUAAGUGUGGAUGGAGUCUCAGCACAAGAGAAUAGGGGGAAAUCUCAUCUGAAUUCAGAGUGGAAAAAAAAGCCUGAUACACUGAUCUCCUUUGCUUGGCUUUGUUUUGCUCUUUUCUGCAGGCUCAGCUGGAAGAGAUGACAGCUAUGGAAACAAGCUGUCCUUGGAUUAGUGGUAACGCUGGGAUGUUUUCCAGGAUGAGAUGUGAUCAUGCAGACAGAGGCCAGCAUCGUGCUGCUGCAUAGAAGGGGCUUGGUAAGUGAAUGUUACCCCUAAAGACACCAGAUCUGACCUUCAGCUCUCCUGCAAACGGCCUAGAACAGUGAAUUACAUAGUCCUAUAAGGAGUCAGUUAGUGAUUGAUCCAGGGUGAUUCUGAAUUUAUUCUGAGUAAUGAAUUCUGAUUCUGUUCUUAUUUAACUAGCUUUAAAAGUGAGGAAGGAAAAGAAAGAUUAUUUUUGACAGGUUGUUUAUAAUUUCACAAGAAAAUCAGUCACUGAGUUAAAAGUUCUAUCAGUUCACUCAUUGCUCUAAGCCUUGUGACAGAAUCCACUGUAUUGAAAUCCUUGCCAGACUCCUC
RNAcentral lists this long non-coding RNA (1301 nucleotides) under Oryctolagus cuniculus (rabbit). RNAcentral's name for it is "lncRNA (ENSOCUG00000037903.1)". The record is from RNAcentral. Lineage: Eukaryota; Metazoa; Chordata; Mammalia; Lagomorpha; Leporidae.